AUGACAAACCACGUAGAUGUAGAUAUAGUAAGUGAUUAUA
Molecule: non-coding RNA, 40 nt
Filed under: Trypanosoma brucei brucei
Lineage: Eukaryota; Euglenozoa; Kinetoplastea; Trypanosomatida; Trypanosomatidae
Source: RNAcentral